Molecule: ribosomal RNA, 253 nt
Filed under: uncultured bacterium
Lineage: Bacteria
Description: partial 16S ribosomal RNA
Rfam family: Bacterial small subunit ribosomal RNA
Source: RNAcentral
UACGUAGGGUGCAAGCGUUGUCCGGAAUUAUUGGGCGUAAAGAGCUCGUAGGCGGUCUGUCGCGUCGGCUGUGAAAACCCGAGGCUCAACCUCGGGCCUGCAGUCGAUACGGGCAAACUAGAGUACUGCAGGGGAGACUGGAAUUCCUGGUGUAGCGGUGAAAUGCGCAGAUAUCAGGAGGAACACCGGCGGCGAAGGCGGGUCUCUGGGCAGUAACUGACGCUGAGGAGCGAAAGCGUGGGGAGCGAACAGG